GAUGAACGCUGGCGGCGUGCCUAAUACAUGCUAGUCGAGCGAACAGACGAGGAUCUUGCUCCUCUGACGUUAGCGGCGGACGGGUGAGUAACACGUGGAUAACCUACCUAUAAGACUGGGAUAACUUCGGGAAACCGGAGCUAAUACCGGAUAAUAUAUUGAACCGCAUGGUUCAAUAGUGAAAGACGGUUUUGCUGUCACUUAUAGAUGGAUCCGCGCCGCAUUAGCUAGUUGGUAAGGUAACUGCUUACCAAGGCAACGAUGCGUAGCCGACCUGAGAGGGUGAUCGGCCACACUGGAACUGCGACACGGUCCAGACUCCUACGGGAGGCACCAGUAGGGAAUCUUCCGCAAUGGGCGAAAGACUGACGGAGCAACGCCGCGUGAGUGAUGAAGGUCUUCGGAUCGUAAAACUCUGUUAUUAGGGAAGAACACCUGUGUAAGUAACUAUGAACGUCUUGACGGUACCUAAUCAGAAAGCCACGGCUAACUACGUG
RNAcentral lists this ribosomal RNA (497 nucleotides) under uncultured bacterium. Its description in RNAcentral is "partial 16S ribosomal RNA". It matches the Rfam family "Bacterial small subunit ribosomal RNA", at positions 28 to 507 of the family's 1533-position model. The record is from RNAcentral.